This 115-nucleotide ribosomal RNA is filed under the name Microcebus murinus (gray mouse lemur). The record is from RNAcentral. Lineage: Eukaryota; Metazoa; Chordata; Mammalia; Primates; Cheirogaleidae.
GUCUACAGCUAUACCACCCUGAACGCGCCCGAUCUCAUCUGAUCUCAGAAGCUAAGCAGGGUUGGGCCUAGUUUGUACUUGGAUGGGAGAAAAUAUCAGAUGGCAAGGGUUAAUU